This is a non-coding RNA of Cinara cedri, 1222 nucleotides long. Lineage: Eukaryota; Metazoa; Arthropoda; Insecta; Hemiptera; Aphididae. The record is from the annotation of a GenBank genome assembly.
GUUAGAUAUUUUAAUCUGUACGUUUCUGCAGUAAUUUUAUGAAAUAUUAUAAAACUCGAUAGGUGCUUAAGGAGUUUUUGUAAUUAUACAUUUACACGUUAUUAUACUUAGUCACUUGAAUAAAUAAUUUACCUAUACAUCAAAGAUUAAUUUUUCGAAGCACCGGUCACCUGUUCUGGAAAUUAAUAUGUAGGUGUAUUUUUUCGGGCUAUUCGGUAUAAUUAUAAUUAAGUAUAUUCAUAAGAUUUCGAGCAGUUAUGAUUCUGAAAUGGAGAUUUUUAGAAAUGGAGAAACUAGAGAUUUUAGCGUUUAGCGUUGACCGCAAUAAUCAUAAGAAAUUAGACGGAUGAUAAUUAAACGCGAAAAAAUAAAUCGAAGUUUUUUAACUUUUGAGGAUAACAAUAUUAGGCGACUAAUAAUAACGUUGACGCGAAGUUCCAUUUUGUUUAACACGUAUUAUUAUAUACGGAUUUGUACUUUUAUUUAUUUAUUGUUUUGGUUUUUUUACCAUUUCAGCCUCUAGAACAGUCGGUUAUUGUUUAUUUUUCAAAUAAUCUCGACCAUCUGAUUGCGGUUGACGCUAAGCAGUAACCUGCCUACGUCAAGUGUGAACCCUCUUCGAGUCCGCGUAUGUCGUCCGUCCAAACCGGACCCAAUAAUUACGUUUCCAUGUAGAAAAACAUUUUCCACGGAUAAGGUUACCUAUACUUAUUUAUACUACGUUUUUUUCAGGCGGUGGAGUAAGUACUUGAGUUUCGAGAGGAGCCGGACUACAAUAAUUUCCUGCUUUUUAUUUUUUUAUUUUUUUUUUUUUUAUGCCAUUCUUCACACGAAUUAUACAUAAUACUAUUUUAUAUUACAGCAAGCAUUAUAGGAGGCAUUAUAUACCUAAACGCACGCAGUACGUAUAUUAAUCUCUAUUCUUUUUCAUAAUAUUAUUAUAUUAUACGAAUGAUAAAAAUUACUUAAUAUAAUUAUAUACAUAAAGCAGAUUAAAUGUCUAUGUCCUAUACACGAAUAAACUGCAGGAAUUAUGAAGCAAUAAAAUAUAUAUAACGCACCAUUAUGACUACAUACCGCAAUUCUAAGCUAAAAUAUAAUACGCUAUAAGUAUAAUAAUAUCUAGGUAGGUUUUUUUUUUUUGAUUUAAUACGGUAUUAUUAUCUAUUUAAUUUUUUAUUGUUAUAAUUAUUUACGUUUAGUUUUCGUGUAAAUACGUAAA